GAUGAAGAACGCAGCGAAAUGCGAUACUUGGUGUGAAUUGCAGAAUCCCGUGAACCAUCGAGUUUUUGAACGCAAGUUGCGCCCGAAGCCAUUAGGCCGAGGGCACGCCUGCCUGGGCGUCACACGUCGUUGCCCCCCCAUCUACUCCUUCGGGAUUGCGGGGGGCGGAUGAUGGCCUCCCGUGCGCCUCGUCGCGCGGUUGGCAUAAAUGCCAAGUCCUCGGCGACGCACGCCACGACAAUCGGUGGUUGCGAAACCUCGGUUGCCCGUCGUGUGCGGUCGUCGCGCAUCGAGGGCUCGAAAAAAUUGCCGGGCUCCGGCUCGGCUUUCAACGCGACCCCAGGUCAGGCGGGGUUACCCGCUGAAUUUAAGCAUAUCAAUAAGCGGAGGA
RNAcentral lists this unclassified non-coding RNA (391 nucleotides) under soil metagenome. Its description in RNAcentral is "partial contains 5.8S ribosomal RNA, internal transcribed spacer 2, and large subunit ribosomal RNA". The stretch from base 1 to 122 matches the Rfam family "5.8S ribosomal RNA", at positions 35 to 154 of the family's 154-position model. The record is from RNAcentral.